CGAACGGGUGAGUAACAUAUCGGAACGUACCGGGUANCGGGGGAUAACUGAUCGAAAGAUCAGCUAAUACCGCAUACGUCUUGAGAGGGAAAGCAGGGGACCUUCGGGCCUUGCGCUAUCCGAGCGGCCGAUAUCUGAUUAGCUGGUUGGCGGGGUAAAGGCCCACCAAGGCGACGAUCAGUAGCGGGUCUGAGAGGAUGAUCCGCCACACUGGGACUGAGACACGGCCCAGACUCCUACGGGAGGCAGCAGCU
RNAcentral lists this ribosomal RNA (254 nucleotides) under uncultured Neisseria sp. RNAcentral's name for it is "partial 16S ribosomal RNA". It matches the Rfam family "Bacterial small subunit ribosomal RNA", at positions 99 to 355 of the family's 1533-position model. The record is from RNAcentral. Lineage: Bacteria; Pseudomonadati; Pseudomonadota; Betaproteobacteria; Neisseriales; Neisseriaceae.